Molecule: ribosomal RNA, 431 nt
Filed under: uncultured bacterium
Lineage: Bacteria
Description: partial 16S ribosomal RNA
Rfam family: Bacterial small subunit ribosomal RNA
Source: RNAcentral
AACGAACGCUGGCGGCAUGCCUAACACAUGCAAGUCGAACGAGACCAUCGGGUCUAGUGGCGCAUGGGUGCGGAACGCGGGGGAACCUGCCCUUAGGUUCGGAACAACUCCCCGAAAGGGGUGCUAAUACCGGAUAAUGUCUUCGGACCAAAGAUUUAUCGCCUUUGGAUGGGCCCGCGUUGGAUUAGCUAGUUGGUAGGGUAAAAGCCUACCAGGGCGACGAUCCAUAGAUGGUCUGAGAGGAUGAUCAGCCACCCUGGGACUGAGACACGGCCCAGACUCCUACGAGAGGCAGCAGUGGGGACUAUUGGACAAUGGGCGAUGGCCUGGUCCAGCAAUUCCGCGUGAGUGCUGACGGCCUUAGAGUUGUAAAACUCUUUUACCCGGGCUGAUUGUGGCUGUACCGAGAGAAUACACUCCGGCUCGCUCCG